RNAcentral lists this ribosomal RNA (468 nucleotides) under uncultured bacterium. Its description in RNAcentral is "partial 16S ribosomal RNA". It matches the Rfam family "Bacterial small subunit ribosomal RNA", at positions 28 to 523 of the family's 1533-position model. The record is from RNAcentral.
GAUGAACGCUGGCGGCGUGCCUAACACAUGCAAGUCGAGCGAUUCUCUUCGGAGAAGAGCGGCGGACGGGUGAGUAACGUGUGGGUAACCUGCCCUGUACACACGGAUAACAUACCGAAAGGUAUGCUAAUACGAGAUAAUAUGCUUUUAUCGCAUGGUAGAAGUAUCAAAGCUUUUGCGGUACAGGAUGGACCCGCGUCUGAUUAGCUAGUUGGUAAGGUAACGGCUUACCAAGGCGACGACCAGUAGCCGACCUGAGAGGGUGAUCGGCCACAUUGGAACUGAGACACGGUCCAAACUCCUACGGGAGGCAGCAGUGGGGAAUAUUGCACAAUGGGCGAAAGCCUGAUGCAGCAACGCCGCGUGAGCGAUGAAGGCCUUCGGGUCGUAAAGCUCUGUCCUCAAGGAAGAUAAUGACGGUACUUGAGGAGGAAGCCCCGGCUAACUACGUGCCAGCCGCCGCCGUAA